UCCCUGGUGGCUCAGUGGUAAAGAAUCUGCCUGCAAAGCAGGGGAUGCAGGUUCCAUCCCUGGGUUGGGAA
RNAcentral lists this transfer RNA (71 nucleotides) under Capra hircus (goat). It matches the Rfam family "tRNA". Rfam says of the family: Transfer RNA (tRNA) molecules are approximately 80 nucleotides in length. The record is from Rfam by way of RNAcentral. RNAcentral also lists the same sequence under 1 other name. Lineage: Eukaryota; Metazoa; Chordata; Mammalia; Artiodactyla; Bovidae.